CAGAGGAGGGAGAGAGGUUUGGCUAUUUUGGGAAUAUUUCAAAGGAGAAAGAGAAGGAAGGGAUGGGAGCCCGCUGCUGUGCUGCUGCUGCCGUCUACCAUUCCAUGGAAGGCUGAUCUCCUCACUAGGGCUGGAUGCAGCCCUAACAAAGGGCCAAGGGUUUUAUAUUUUUGAUUUCUAUUCUUGAAGUUGUAUAAACCUUAUUUUGCUUCUAAUGAAUAUUUUAUUUCAUCUCAUAUUUAAUUUCUGUGAUUUUAAAUGUGAAGUUUAU
This 271-nucleotide long non-coding RNA is filed under the name Phoenix dactylifera (date palm). RNAcentral describes it as "long non-coding RNA (PDAC_LNC010198)". The record is from RNAcentral. Lineage: Eukaryota; Viridiplantae; Streptophyta; Magnoliopsida; Arecales; Arecaceae.